UACGUAGGGGGCAAGCGUUGUCCGGAUUUAUUGGGCGUAAAGAGCGUGUAGGCGGCUAGGUAGGUCCGUUGUGAAAACUCGAGGCUCAACCUCGAGACGCCGAUGGAAACCAUCUAGCUAGAGUCCGGAAGAGGAGAGUGGAAUUCCUGGUGUAGCGGUGAAGUGCGCAGAUAUCGGGAGGAACACCAAUGGCGAAGGCAGCUCGCUGGGACGUUACUGACGCUGAGACGCGAAAGCGUGGGGAGCAAACAGG
RNAcentral lists this ribosomal RNA (253 nucleotides) under uncultured bacterium. RNAcentral's name for it is "partial 16S ribosomal RNA". It matches the Rfam family "Bacterial small subunit ribosomal RNA", at positions 524 to 776 of the family's 1533-position model. The record is from RNAcentral.